This 150-nucleotide small RNA is filed under the name Serinicoccus sp. Its description in RNAcentral is "c-di-AMP sequence". It matches the Rfam family "c-di-AMP riboswitch aptamer (ydaO/yuaA leader)". Rfam says of the family: This family represents a conserved RNA structure found upstream of the ydaO and yuaA genes in Bacillus subtilis and related genes in other bacteria. The ydaO/yuaA element is thought to act as a genetic "off" switch for the ydaO and yuaA genes in its native state. Lineage: Bacteria; Bacillati; Actinomycetota; Actinomycetes; Micrococcales; Ornithinimicrobiaceae. The record is from RNAcentral.
GCACGUACGACACCGCUUUGACAGGAGCGGGGGAACCACCUCUGGAGCCGCCCCUGCGGCUCUUCGGGGCGACGGACCGGCCAACCCGGUCCAGGGGCACUCCAGCCCGAAGCCCGACAGCUCACCCCGCAGGCACUGGAGGAUCUACAU